Molecule: long non-coding RNA, 352 nt
Filed under: Equus caballus (horse)
Lineage: Eukaryota; Metazoa; Chordata; Mammalia; Perissodactyla; Equidae
Description: lncRNA (ENSECAG00000056587.1)
Source: RNAcentral
CCUUGGUCCAGGGUUGGGAGCGCCGAUUAGUGCCCCAAAGUCUGGCUUCUAACGGUCCAGGCCCUGUGGGCCCUACAGAGUUAGCCUGCCUUCCAGUCCUGGCCCCACUGUGCAGGACUCAGAGGACACCCCGGCCGCAGACGCCACCGCCAGCCUUGGGGGGGUGCCCAGUUUUCAGCUCUCCCUUGCUUCCGAGCCUUCACCCUUGGACUGGAGCUACAUCAUCCACUCUCCUGGGUCUCCAUCCUGCCCACUCACCCUGCAGAACUUGGGACUCGUCAGCCUCCGCAAUCAUUCCAGGAGGGGACCAGAAAAUCUGAUGAAGAAAACCCAUCAGAGAGCCUUGACCCGG